RNAcentral lists this long non-coding RNA (750 nucleotides) under Rattus norvegicus (Norway rat). Its description in RNAcentral is "long non-coding RNA NONRATT001156". Lineage: Eukaryota; Metazoa; Chordata; Mammalia; Rodentia; Muridae. The record is from RNAcentral.
GGAUCCCAAGUUGCCACUGUUUGAAGGUGAUGACUUAAAAAUACUGACCCAGGAGUUCACCAAGGCUAGAAACCUCCUCAAGCAAGCCCAGGUCUUCAGAUCCCAGCUCCUGAAGAAAAAUGGCAUGCAAUCAAAGGUUACUGCUUGCUAGAGAUAUGCUCUCAGUGACUCCUGGUUAGUGUCAAGGCACAGCUCAGAUAGCAUCGUUCCACUAGGAAGAUGUCCCUGGGACCUAUCCAGGACCUCCAGGAACUUCCGAUGCUUCCGGCUUUCCUCUUCUUCUGGACGUCCUGAGCACGAUGCCUCUUGUUGCAUUCAGCACUGCAGGCCACCAUGCCUGCCUAAGCUUUCUUGACCAUGGUUCCGCCAUGAAACUGCUGUCUUAACCAUCCAUGGAUCCCCAGACCCUACCAUGGAGCAGUCACGUGGUAAGCAGUGAGCAACCACCUGGAUGUGACAGCCCGGCCCUGGAUUCUCCUGGUUCCUCCCUGUACCACCCAUCCACAGCCCAAGGCAGCUACCAGCAGCCCAGCUUGGGGAAGGACAGCCAAGAGCCAGGUCCACUACACCUGCUAACUGCAGUCCAGAGCAAAUGCUCUGCUCUGCUACAGCCUCUGAAAAUCAGACUUCACCCUUUGAGCCCAGCUAUGCUGUGUCCAAACGAGUGGGGGCAUCGUGUGUUAGAUCAGCUGGGAUCGUUUGCUAAAAUGUGAAAAUUGCUUUUGCUAAUAGAGUCAAAAUAAGUUUAAA